RNAcentral lists this ribosomal RNA (451 nucleotides) under uncultured bacterium. Its description in RNAcentral is "bacterial SSU rRNA". It matches the Rfam family "Bacterial small subunit ribosomal RNA", at positions 354 to 796 of the family's 1533-position model. The record is from RNAcentral.
GUCGAGGAUCUUCCGCAAUGGGGGCAACCCUGACGGAGCGACGCCGCGUGCGGGAUGAAGGCCUUCGGGUUGUAAACCGCUGUCAAAGAUUAGGAAUGGGCCUGGUGCAAAUAGCACUAGGUUUUGACAAAAGUCUGAGAGGAAGCCACGGCUAACUCUGUGCCAGCAGCCGCGGUAAGACAGAGGUGGCAACCGUUGUUCGGAAUCACUGGGCAUAAAGCGCGCGUAGGCGGUGAAGUAAGUCGGGUGUGAAAUCCCUCGGCCUAACCGAGGAACUGCGCUCGAAACUACUUCGCUGGAGGGCAGGAGGGGAGCGUGGAAUUCCUGGUGGAGCGGUGAAAUGCGUUGAUAUCAGGAGGAACACCGGCGGCGAAGGCGACGCUCUGGUCUGCUACUGACGCUGAGGCGCGAAAGCCAGGGGAGCAAACGGGAUUAGAUACCCCGGUAGUCC